This 431-nucleotide ribosomal RNA is filed under the name uncultured bacterium. RNAcentral's name for it is "partial 16S ribosomal RNA". It matches the Rfam family "Bacterial small subunit ribosomal RNA", at positions 29 to 507 of the family's 1533-position model. The record is from RNAcentral.
AACGAACGCUGGCGGCAGGCUUAACACAUGCAAGUCGAACGCCCCGCAAGGGGAGUGGCAGACGGGUGAGUAACGCGUGGGAACAUACCCUUUUCUACGGAAUAGCUCUGGGAAACUGGAAUUAAUACCGAAUACGCCCUACGGGGGAAAGAUUUAUCGGGCAAGGGUUGGCCCGCGUGGGAUUAGCUAGUUGGGGGGGUAAAGGCCUACCAAGGCGACGAGCUAUAGCUGGUCUGAGAGGCAGAUCAGCCACAUUGGGACUGAGACACGGCCCAAACUACUACGGGAGGCAGGCGUGGGGAAUAUUGGCAAACGGGCGCAAGCCUGAACCAGCCAUGCCGCGUGAGUGAUGAAGGCCUUAGAGUUGUAAAGCUCUUUAACCGAUGAAGAUAAUGACGGUAGUCGGAGAAGAAGCACCGGCUAACUUCGUG